GCCGGCGUAGCUCAUCAGGAUAGAGCAACAGUUUCCUAAACUGUGGGUAGGAGGUUCGAGUCCUCUCGCUGGCGCCA
Molecule: transfer RNA, 77 nt
Filed under: Alphaproteobacteria bacterium
Lineage: Bacteria; Pseudomonadati; Pseudomonadota; Alphaproteobacteria
Also listed under: 1 other name
Description: tRNA-Arg
Rfam family: tRNA
About the family: Transfer RNA (tRNA) molecules are approximately 80 nucleotides in length.
Source: RNAcentral